UUGAACAGCCCAUUAGAUUGGGUGCAAUCUAGCAUAUUUCCUGGGUGACUAGUGGAUUUUAUAAAAAAUGCUGGGCAUAACUACCAAAUUUGCAGCCAAGAUGUUUCUUGAGAGGUAUGCGUGCACUAUGCUUGCUGGAAUCACCAAAAAUAAGCUGUAUGAUCAAAGUGCUUGUUGGGUGAAAUGGUUCUUUAUUGACUGCUUCUUUGUGAUAGAUCUAUUUCAUGUUUGUUAUGUAUUUGAAAAUACAUCUUCAAUUGUUUUGAAUAUUUUCUUAGUGUUUUUUAUUUGACCUGUGCUGGCAUGUAGUAUACAUUAUUCUUGCUUGAGCGACUCUCUCCACUUUCUAGAAUUAGUGAACAGUCCUUGCUUCCAGAGGUUCAAUCUUAUCUUGCUAUAUCUCACAUUCUCUUGAACUGUCACUUAUACCUUAUUUGUUUCUUGUCAGUGGUCGACGCAUUUAGUUGCUAAAAUUAGGGAACAAUGCAUCAUGUCUAAAGAUCACUAUAGGCUACAAUCUGUUUUCCUUUUGACCAUCACUUAUGCCUACUUGCCUUCUGCUUGUUCCAUGCUCAAGGCAUGUCUUUUGCUAGAACAGGAACAAAACUGUCCCCUCCAAGAUUUAACUCCUAUGUGCUAUAUCUCACUUUCUUUUGAAUGGUCACUCAUGCUUACUUGCCUUUUGCUCAUUCAGUUCUUAGGAUGCAUCUUUCUUUGAAUUAGGAAACAAUCCAUUACUUUU
Molecule: long non-coding RNA, 742 nt
Filed under: Phoenix dactylifera (date palm)
Lineage: Eukaryota; Viridiplantae; Streptophyta; Magnoliopsida; Arecales; Arecaceae
Description: long non-coding RNA (PDAC_LNC018735)
Source: RNAcentral